RNAcentral lists this transfer RNA (73 nucleotides) under Candidatus Margulisiibacteriota bacterium. RNAcentral's name for it is "tRNA-Lys". It matches the Rfam family "tRNA". From Rfam's summary of the family: Transfer RNA (tRNA) molecules are approximately 80 nucleotides in length. Their secondary structure includes four short double-helical elements and three loops (D, anti-codon, and T loops). Further hydrogen bonds mediate the characteristic L-shaped molecular structure. tRNAs have two regions of fundamental functional importance: the anti-codon, which is responsible for specific mRNA codon recognition, and the 3' end, to which the tRNAs corresponding amino acid is attached (by aminoacyl-tRNA synthetases). tRNAs cope with the degeneracy of the genetic code in two manners: having more than one tRNA (with a specific anti-codon) for a particular amino acid; and 'wobble' base-pairing, i.e. permitting non-standard base-pairing at the 3rd anti-codon position. The record is from RNAcentral. Lineage: Bacteria; Bacillati; Candidatus Margulisiibacteriota.
GACCCGGUAGCUCAGUUGGUAGAGCAUCUGCCUUUUAAGCAGGGGGUCAUGAGUUCGAAUCUCAUCCGGGUCA